RNAcentral lists this transfer RNA (70 nucleotides) under Goliathus goliatus. RNAcentral's name for it is "tRNA-Lys". RNAcentral also lists the same sequence under 1 other name. The record is from RNAcentral. Lineage: Eukaryota; Metazoa; Arthropoda; Insecta; Coleoptera; Scarabaeidae.
CAUUAGGUGGCUGAAAGUAAGCAAUGGUCUCUUAAACCACUUUAUAGUAAAUUAACACUUACUUCUAAUG